AGAGUUUGAUCAUGGCUCAGAUUGAACGCUGGCGGCAGGCUUAACACAUGCAAGUCGAACGGUAACAGGGAGAAAGCUUGCUUUCUUUGCUGACGAGUGGCGGACGGGUGAGUAAUGCUUGGGAAUCUGGCUUAUGGAGGGGGAUAACUACGGGAAACUGUAGCUAAUACCGCGUAGUAUCUUCGGAUUAAAGGGUGGGACCGUAAGGCCACCUGCCAUAAGAUGAGCCCAAGUGGGAUUAGGUAGUUGGUGGGGUAAAGGCCUACCAAGCCGACGAUCUCUAGCUGGUCUGAGAGGAUGGCCAGCCACACUGGAACUGAGACACGGUCCAGACUCCUACGGGAGGCAGCAGUGGGGAAUAUUGCACAAUGGGGGGAACCCUGAUGCAGCCAUGCCGCGUGAAUGAAGAAGGCCUUCGGGUUGUAAAGUUCUUUCGGUGAUGAGGAGGGUGUUUGUUUUAAUAGAACAAGCAAUUGACGUUAGUCACAGAAGAAGCACCGGCUAACUCCGUGCCAGCAGCCGCGGUAAUACGGAGGGUGCGAGCGUUAAUCGGAAUGACUGGGCGUAAAGGGCACGCAGGCGGUGACUUAAGUGAGAUGUGAAAGCCCCGGGCUUAACCUGGGAAUUGCAUUUCAUACUGGGUCGCUAGAGUAUUUUAGGGAGGGGUAGAAUUCCACGUGUAGCGGUGAAAUGCGUAGAGAUGUGGAGGAAUACCGAAGGCGAAGGCAGCCCCUUGGGAAUAUACUGACGCUCAUGUGCGAAAGCGUGGGGAGCAAACAGGAUUAGAUACCCUGGUAGUCCACGCUGUAAACGCUGUCUGAUUUGGGGAUUGGGCUUAGAGCUUGGUGCCCGUAGCUAACGUGAAAAUCGACCGCCUGGGGA
Molecule: ribosomal RNA, 882 nt
Filed under: uncultured bacterium
Lineage: Bacteria
Description: bacterial SSU rRNA
Rfam family: Bacterial small subunit ribosomal RNA
Source: RNAcentral